RNAcentral lists this ribosomal RNA (801 nucleotides) under uncultured bacterium. RNAcentral's name for it is "bacterial SSU rRNA". It matches the Rfam family "Bacterial small subunit ribosomal RNA", at positions 64 to 879 of the family's 1533-position model. The record is from RNAcentral.
GAACGAGCGAGAGAGAGCUUGCUUUCUCGAGCGAGUGGCGAACGGGUGAGUAACGCGUGAGGAACCUGCCUCAAAGAGGGGGACAACAGUUGGAAACGACUGCUAAUACCGCAUAAGCCCACGGCUCGGCAUCGAGCAGAGGGAAAAGGAGCAAUCCGCUUUGAGAUGGCCUCGCGUCCGAUUAGCUAGUUGGUGAGGUAACGGCCCACCAAGGCAACGAUCGGUAGCCGGACUGAGAGGUUGAACGGCCACAUUGGGACUGAGACACGGCCCAGACUCCUACGGGAGGCAGCAGUGGGGAAUAUUGCACAAUGGGGGAAACCCUGAUGCAGCGACGCCGCGUGGAGGAAGAAGGUCUUCGGAUUGUAAACUCCUGUUGUUGGGGAAGAUAAUGACGGUACCCAACAAGGAAGUGACGGCUAACUACGUGCCAGCAGCCGCGGUAAAACGUAGGUCACAAGCGUUGUCCGGAAUUACUGGGUGUAAAGGGAGCGCAGGCGGGAAGACAAGUUGGAAGUGAAAUCUAUGGGCUCAACCCAUAAACUGCUUUCAAAACUGUUUUUCUUGAGUAGUGCAGAGGUAGGCGGAAUUCCCGGUGUAGCGGUGGAAUGCGUAGAUAUCGGGAGGAACACCAGUGGCGAAGGCGGCCUACUGGGCACCAACUGACGCUGAGGCUCGAAAGUGUGGGUAGCAAACAGGAUUAGAUACCCUGGUAGUCCACACCGUAAACGAUGAUUACUAGGUGUUGGAGGAUUGACCCCUUCAGUGCCGCAGUUACACAAUAAGUAAUCCACCUGGGGA